RNAcentral lists this ribosomal RNA (1436 nucleotides) under uncultured Pelagibacterales bacterium. RNAcentral describes it as "bacterial SSU rRNA". It matches the Rfam family "Bacterial small subunit ribosomal RNA". Lineage: Bacteria; Pseudomonadati; Pseudomonadota; Alphaproteobacteria; Candidatus Pelagibacterales. The record is from RNAcentral.
AGAGUUUGAUCCUGGCUCAGAACGUACGCUGGCGGCACGCCUAACACAUGCAAGUCGAACGAAGUAGCAAUACUUAGUGGCAGACGGGUGAGUAACAUGUAGGUAUCUGCCCUUUGGCCUGGAAUAACACGAGGAAACUUGUGCUAAUACCGGAUAAGUCUUUACGGAGAAAGCUUAAUGCACCAUUGGAUGAGCCUGCACUUGAUUAGUUUGUUGGUGGGGUAAUGGCCUACCAAGACUUUGAUCAAUAGCUGAUUUGAGAGGAUGAUCAGCCACAUUGGGACUGAGACACGGCCCAAACUCCUACGGGAGGCAGCAGUGGGGAAUCUUGCACAAUGGAGGAAACUCUGAUGCAGCGAUGCCGCGUGAGUGAAGAAGGCCUUUGGGUUGUAAAGCUCUUUCGUCGGGGAAGAAAAUGACUGUACCCGAAUAAGAAGGUCCGGCUAACUUCGUGCCAGCAGCCGCGGUAAUACGAAGGGACCUAGCGUAGUUCGGAAUUACUGGGCUUAAAGAGUUCGUAGGUGGUUGAAAAAGUUGGUGGUGAAAUCCCAGAGCUUAACUCUGGAACUGCCAUCAAAACUUUUCAGCUAGAGUAUGAUAGAGGAAAGCAGAAUUUCUAGUGUAGAGGUGAAAUUCGUAGAUAUUAGAAAGAAUACCAAUUGCGAAGGCAGCUUUCUGGAUCAUUACUGACACUGAGGAACGAAAGCAUGGGUAGCGAAGAGGAUUAGAUACCCUCGUAGUCCAUGCCGUAAACGAUGUGUGUUAGACGUUGGAAAUUUAUUUUCAGUGUCGCAGCGAAAGCGAUAAACACACCGCCUGGGGAGUACGACCGCAAGGUUAAAACUCAAAUGAAUUGACGGGGACCCGCACAAGUAGUGGAGCAUGUGGUUUAAUUCGAAGAUACGCGCAGAACCUUACCAACACUUGACAUGUUCGUCGCGACUUUAAGAGAUUAAAGUUUUCGGUUCGGCCGGACGAAACACAGGUGCUGCAUGGCUGUCGUCAGCUCGUGUCGUGAGAUGUUGGGUUAAGUCCCGCAACGAGCGCAACCCUCACUUUUAGUUGCCAUCAUUAAGUUGGGCACUCUGAAAGAACUGCCAGUGAUAAGCUGGAGGAAGGUGGGGAUGACGUCAAGUCCUCAUGGCCCUUACGUGUUGGGCUACACACGUGCUACAAUGGUAUCUACAACAGGAAGCAAGACUGCGAAGUUAAGCAAAUCCCUAAAAGAUACCUCAGUUCGGAUUGCACUCUGCAACUCGAGUGCAUGAAGCUGGAAUUACUAGUAAUCGUGGAUCAGCGUGCCACGGUGAAUGCGUUCCCGGGUCUUGUACACACCGCCCGUCACACCAUGGGAGUUGGUUCUACCUUAAGGCAAGGUUUCAAACCCUUGACCACGGUAUAGUCAGCGACUGGGGUGAAGUCGUAACAAGGUAACC